RNAcentral lists this ribosomal RNA (494 nucleotides) under uncultured bacterium. RNAcentral describes it as "bacterial SSU rRNA". It matches the Rfam family "Bacterial small subunit ribosomal RNA", at positions 62 to 543 of the family's 1533-position model. The record is from RNAcentral.
UCGAGCGAGAACCAGUCCUUCGGGACUGGGGAAAGCGGCGAACGGGUGAGUAACACGUGGGUAAUCUGCCCUCGGCACUGGGAUAGCCCGGGGAAACCCGGAUUAAUACCGGAUAGCCUUUCGAGUCUUCGGACUCGUCAGAAAAGGUGGCUUCGGCUACUGGCUGAGGAGGAGCCCGCGGCGGAUUAGCUUGUUGGCGGGGUAACGGCCCACCAAGGCGACGAUCCGUAGCUGGUCUGAGAGGACGAUCAGCCACACUGGGACUGAGACACGGCCCAGACUCCUACGGGAGGCAGCAGUGGGGAAUCUUGCGCAAUGGGCGAAAGCCUGACGCAGCGACGCCGCGUGCGGGAAGAAGGCCUUCGGGUUGUAAACCGCUUUCAGGAGGGACGAAGCCACUCGGGUUAAUACCCCAGAGGGUGACGGUACCUCCAGAAGAAGCCCCGGCUAACUACGUGCCAGCAGCCGCGGUAAUACGUAGGGGGCAAGCGUUG